This 497-nucleotide ribosomal RNA is filed under the name uncultured bacterium. RNAcentral's name for it is "partial 16S ribosomal RNA". It matches the Rfam family "Bacterial small subunit ribosomal RNA", at positions 28 to 507 of the family's 1533-position model. The record is from RNAcentral.
GAUGAACGCUGGCGGCGUGCCUAAUACAUGCAAGUCGAGCGAACAGACGAGGAGCUUGCUCCUCUGACGUUAUCGGCGGACGGGUGAGUAACACGUGUAUAACCUACCUAUAAGACUGGGAUAACUUUGCGAAACCGGAGCUAAUACCGGAUAAUAUAUUGAACCGCAUGGUUCAAUAGUUAAAUUCGGUUUUUCUGUCACUUAUAGAUGGAUCCGCGCCGCAUUCGUUAGUUGGUAAGGUAACUGCUUAACAAGGCUACGAUGCGAAGCCGACCCGAGCGCGUGGACGGCCAGACUGGAACUGAGGCACGGUCCAGACUCCUACGGGAGGAAGCAGUAGGGAAUCUUACGCAAUGGGGGAGAGCCUGACGGAGCAACACCGCGGGAGUGAUGAAGGUCUUAGGAUCGGUAAACUAUGUUAUUAGGGGAGAACAAAUGUGUAAGUAACUAUGCACGUAUUGACGGUACCUAAUCAGAAAGCCACGGCUAACUCCGUG